UCUAGGUGGCGGACGGGUGAGUAACGCGUGGGUAACCUGCCUUUACACAGGGGGAUAACAGUUAGAAAUGACUGCUAAUACCGCAUAAGCGCACAGUAUCGCAUGAUACAGUGUGAAAACUCCGGUGGUGUAAGAUGGACCCGCGUCUGAUUAGCUAGUUGGUGAGGUAACGGCCCACCAAGGCGACGAUCAGUAGCCGGCCUGAGAGGGUGAACGGCCACAUUGGGACUGAGACACGGCCCAAACUCCUACGGGAGGCAGCAGUAGGGAAUAUUGGACAAUGGGGGAAACCCUGAUCCAACGCGACGCCGCGUGAGUGAAGAAGUAUUUCGGUACGUUAAAGCUCUAUCAGCAGGGAAGAAAUGACGGUACCUGACUAAGAAGCACCGGCUAAAUACGUGCCAGCCGCAGC
RNAcentral lists this ribosomal RNA (412 nucleotides) under uncultured bacterium. RNAcentral describes it as "bacterial SSU rRNA". It matches the Rfam family "Bacterial small subunit ribosomal RNA", at positions 90 to 518 of the family's 1533-position model. The record is from RNAcentral.